UUCGGCGGCAGUCCGGCUGCUCCGGCGGAGAAAGGGAUUGUACUCCCGGAGCUGAGCUGCCGGGCUGCCGCCGAGUUC
This 78-nucleotide microRNA precursor is filed under the name Gadus morhua (Atlantic cod). Its description in RNAcentral is "microRNA gmo-mir-11206 precursor". The record is from miRBase by way of RNAcentral. Lineage: Eukaryota; Metazoa; Chordata; Actinopteri; Gadiformes; Gadidae.